CUUCGGGCCUCUUGCCAUCGGAUGUGCCCAGAUGGGAUUAGCUAGUAGGUGGGGUAACGGCUCACCUAGGCGACGAUCCCUAGCUGGUCUGAGAGGAUGACCAGCCACACUGGAACUGAGACACGGUCAAAAUCUAUACGGGAGGCAGCAGUGGGGAAUAUUGCACAAUGGGCGCAAGCCUGAUGCAGCCAUGCCGCGUGUAUGAAGAAGGCCUUCGGGUUGUAAAGUACUUUCAGCGGGGAGGAAGGCGAUGAGGUUAAUAACCUUGGCGAUUGACGUUACCCGCAGAAGAAGCACCGGCUAACUCCGUGCCAGCAGCCGCGGUAAUACGGAGGGUGCAAGCGUUAAUCGGAAUUACUGGGCGUAAAGCGCACGCAGGCGGUCUGUCAAGUCGGAUGUGAAAUCCCCGGGCUCAACCUGGGAACUGCAUUCGAAACUGGCAGGCUAGAGUCUUGUAGAGGGGGGUAGAAUUCCAGGUGUAGCGGUGAAAUGCGUAGAGAUCUGGAGGAAUACCGGUGGCGAAGGCGGCCCCCUGGACAAAGACUGACGCUCAGGUGCGAAAGCGUGCGGAGCAAACAGGAUUAGAUACCCUGGUAGUCCACGCCGUAAACGAUGUCGACUUGGAGGUUGUGCCCUUGAGGCGUGGCUUCCGGAGCUAACGCGUUAAGUCGACCGCCUGGGGAGUACGGCCGCAAGGUUAAAACUCAAAUGAAUUGACGGGGGCCCGCACAAGCGGUGGAGCAUGUGGUUUAAUUCGAUGCAACGCGAAGAACCUUACCUACUCUUGACAUCCAGAGAACUUAGCAGAGAUGCUUUGG
This 818-nucleotide ribosomal RNA is filed under the name Enterobacter hormaechei. Its description in RNAcentral is "bacterial SSU rRNA". It matches the Rfam family "Bacterial small subunit ribosomal RNA", at positions 201 to 1014 of the family's 1533-position model. The record is from RNAcentral. Lineage: Bacteria; Pseudomonadati; Pseudomonadota; Gammaproteobacteria; Enterobacterales; Enterobacteriaceae.